This 551-nucleotide ribosomal RNA is filed under the name uncultured Glomeromycotina. RNAcentral describes it as "SSU rRNA". It matches the Rfam family "Eukaryotic small subunit ribosomal RNA", at positions 548 to 1098 of the family's 1831-position model. Lineage: Eukaryota; Fungi; Glomeromycota. The record is from RNAcentral.
UUGGAGGGCAAGUCUGGUGCCAGCAGCCGCGGUAAUUCCAGCUCCAAUAGCGUAUAUUAAAGUUGUUGCAGUUAAAAAGCUCGUAGUUGAACUUCGGGAUUUGCCCAUUGGUCAGGCUUAACUGUCUGCACUGGUGUGACGAGUUCCUACCUUCUGAGGAAUCUCCAUGUCAUUCAGUUGGUGUGGGGGGAAAUCAGGACUGUUACUUUGAAAAAAUUAGAGUGUUUAAAGCAGGCAUCCGUCUGAAUACAUUAGCAUGGAAUAAUAAAAUAGGGCGGUUUGGUUCUAUUUUGUUGGUUUCUAGGAUCACCGUAAUGAUUAAUAGGGAUAGUUGGGGGCAUUAGUAUUCAAUUGUCAGAGGUGAAAUUCUUGGAUUUAUUGAAGACUAACUACUGCGAAAGCAUUUGCCAAGGAUGUUUUCAUUAAUCAAGAACGAAAGUUAGGGGAUCGAAGACGAUCAGAUACCGUCGUAGUCUUAACCAUAAACUAUGCCGACUAGGGAUCGGACGAAGUUAAUUUUUUAAUGACUCGUUCGGCGCCUUACGGGAAAC